CCUACGGGUGGCAGCAGUGAGGAAUAUUGCACAAUGGAGGAAACUCUGACGCAGCCAUGCCGCGUGAGUGAAGAAGGUUUUCGGGUUGUAAAGCUCUUUCGGCUGUGAAGAUGAUGUCAGUAUAAUUGAAAGAAGCGCAGGCUCACUACGUGUCAGCGGCCGCGGUAAUACGAAGGGGGCAAGCGUUGUGCGGAAUUACUGGGCGUAAAGGGAGCGCAGGCGGUUCAGUGAGAUAGUUGUGAAAGCCCAGGGCUGAACUUUGGAAUUGCAAUUGGAAAUAGUAGACUAGAGUGACAGAGAGGUAGGUGGAAUACCUAGUGUAGAGGUGAAAUGCGUAGAUAUUAGGAAGAACACCAGUGGCGAAGGCGGCUAACUGGCCGGUGAUUGACGCUGAGGCUCGAAAGCGUGGGGAGCAAACAGGAUUAGAUACCCGAGUAGUC
This 440-nucleotide ribosomal RNA is filed under the name uncultured bacterium. Its description in RNAcentral is "partial 16S ribosomal RNA". It matches the Rfam family "Bacterial small subunit ribosomal RNA", at positions 338 to 795 of the family's 1533-position model. The record is from RNAcentral.